RNAcentral lists this transfer RNA (62 nucleotides) under Planctomycetota bacterium. RNAcentral describes it as "Planctomycetes bacterium (bioreactor metagenome) tRNA-Ser". Lineage: Bacteria; Pseudomonadati; Planctomycetota. The record is from RNAcentral.
GCGGGUGGCCCGGAGUUGGUCUUCGGAACCGCGGGGCACGGGUUCGACCCCCGUCGGGUGCG